CGCCCGCCGCGCGCGGCGGGCGGGGCGGGGGCACGGGGGGGCGAAGAAKUAUUUCGGUAUGUAWRGCUCUAUCGGCAGGGARGAAAGGCCCUUUAMGGGAGAUGACGGUACCUGACUAAGAAGCCCCGGCUAACUACGUGCCAGCAGCCGCGGUAAUACGUAGGGGGCAAGCGUUAUCCGGAUUUACUGGGUGUAAAGGGAGCGCAGACGGCAUCGCAAGUCUGAUGUGAAAGCCCGGGGCUCAACCCCGGAACUGCAUUGGAAACUGCGGAGCUCGAGUGUCGGAGGGGUAAGCGGAAUUCCUAGUGUAGCGGUGAAAUGCGUAGAUAUUAGGAGGAACACCGGUGGCGAAGGCGGCUUACUGGACGACUACUGACGUUGAGGCUCGAAAGCGUGGGGAGCAAACAGGAUUAGAUACCCUGGUAGUCCACGCUGUAAACGAUGAAUACUAGGUGUUGG
This 459-nucleotide ribosomal RNA is filed under the name uncultured Lachnospiraceae bacterium. RNAcentral's name for it is "bacterial SSU rRNA". It matches the Rfam family "Bacterial small subunit ribosomal RNA", at positions 369 to 826 of the family's 1533-position model. Lineage: Bacteria; Bacillati; Bacillota; Clostridia; Lachnospirales; Lachnospiraceae. The record is from RNAcentral.